AUGCUCGAUCGGACGAAGCCCUCUCUCGCCAUGAGAGACCCGAAGCUCAAGACAGCAAGAGCCCACAAGCCGCGCCACUGCCACCUCCUCGACAGGCUCAGGAAGCGCCACUUCUACAGGUGGCGGUGGCUCCUCUGGCUGGCCGUCUCCGCCUACCUCCUCCUCCCGGCGCUGCCCCCCUCCCUCCGCGGCCCCGGCUCCGAGCCCCUCCCCGGCGUCCGGAUCUACGCCUACGACCUCCCGCCGCGCUUCAACCGGGGCUGGGCGGCCGCCGACGCGCGGUGCGCGCGCCACCUCUUCGCCGCCGAGGUGGCCGUGCACGAGGCGCUGCUGCUGCGGCAGCGGCGCGCGGGCCUGCGCCCCGAGGAGGCCGACCUCUUCCUCGUGCCCGUCUACGUCUGCUGCAACUUCUCCACGCCCACGGGGCUCCCGUCGCUGGCGCACGCGCGCGGGCUGCUGGCCGACGCCGUCGGCCUCGUCCGCGCCCAGAUGCCCUUCUGGAACCGCUCCGCCGGGGCCGACCACGUCUUCGUCGCGGCGCACGACUUCGGCGCCUGCUUCCACCCCAUGGAGGAUGUGGCAAUGGCGGCCGGUAUCCCGGAGUUCUUGAAGAGGUCGAUCCUGCUGCAGACAUUUGGCGUGCAGGGCCGGCACCCAUGCCAGGACGUGGAGCAUGUGGUGCUCCCGCCGUACGUGCCGCCUGAGGUGGCUCCUCGGGAGCUGCCGGAACCGGAGAAGGCGCGUCGCGACAUCUUUGCCUUCUUCCGGGGCAAGAUGGAGGUCCAUCCCAAGAACAUCAGUGGCCACUUCUACAGCAGGAAGGUGAGGACUGAACUACUGCGGCUGUAUGGCCGCAACGGCAAGUUCCAUCUGAAGCGGAAACGGUACGACGGCUACCGGGCGGAGAUGGCGCGCUCCAUGUUCUGCCUCUGCCCGCUGGGGUGGGCGCCAUGGAGCCCUCGCCUCGUGGAGUCGGUCCUCCUGGGCUGCAUCCCCGUCAUCAUCGCCGACAACAUACGCCUGCCGUUCCCCGGCGUCCUCCGGUGGCCGGACAUCUCGCUGCAGGUGGCGGAGAGGGACGUGGCCGGCCUCGAGGCGGUGCUUGACCACGUCGCGGCGACCAACCUGACGACGAUACAGAGGAACUUGUGGGACCCCGUGAAGCGGAAGGCGCUGGUUUUUAACCGCCCGAUGGAGGAGGGAGACGCCACCUGGCAGGUGCUCAAGGAGCUUGAGGCGAAGCUGGAGCCGUUGCGACGGCAGGGGCGGAGGAGGAUCCAUAUCUAG
RNAcentral lists this ribosomal RNA (1287 nucleotides) under Triticum aestivum (bread wheat). Its description in RNAcentral is "partial small subunit ribosomal RNA". Lineage: Eukaryota; Viridiplantae; Streptophyta; Magnoliopsida; Poales; Poaceae. The record is from RNAcentral.